CCUACGGGAGGCAGCAGUGAGGAAUAUUGGUCAAUGGGCGAGAGCCUGAACCAGCCAAGUAGCGUGAGGGAAGACGGUCCUAUGGAUUGUAAACCUCUUUUGUCGGGGAGCAAAAAGCGGUACGUGUACCGCAUCGAGAGUACCAGGAGAAAAAGCAUCGGCUAACUCCGUGCCAGCAGCCGCGGUAAUACGGAGGAUGCGAGCGUUAUCCGGAUUUAUUGGGUUUAAAGGGUGCGCAGGCGGCGAGUUAAGUCAGCGGUAAAAUUUCGGGGCUCAACCUCGACGAGCCGUUGAAACUGGGUGGCUAGAGUGGGCGAGAAGUAUGCGGAAUGCGUGGUGUAGCGGUGAAAUGCAUAGAUAUCACGCAGAACUCCGAUUGCGAAGGCAGCAUACCGGCGCCCAACUGACGCUCAGGCACGAAAGUGUGGGUAUCGAACAGGAUUAGAUACCCGAGUAGUC
Molecule: ribosomal RNA, 459 nt
Filed under: uncultured bacterium
Lineage: Bacteria
Description: partial 16S ribosomal RNA
Rfam family: Bacterial small subunit ribosomal RNA
Source: RNAcentral